Molecule: ribosomal RNA, 253 nt
Filed under: uncultured bacterium
Lineage: Bacteria
Description: partial 16S ribosomal RNA
Rfam family: Bacterial small subunit ribosomal RNA
Source: RNAcentral
UACGUAGGGUGCAAGCGUUGUCCGGAAUUAUUGGGCGUAAAGAGCUCGUAGGCGGUUUGUCGCGUCUGCUGUGAAAACUCGGGGCUUAACUCCGGGCCUGCAGUGGGUACGGGCAGACCAGAGUGCGGUAGGGGAGACUGGAAUUCCUGGUGUAGCGGUGAAAUGCGCAGAUAUCAGGAGGAACACCUAUAGCGAAGGCAGCUUGCUGGGACGUUACUGACGCUAAGGAGCGAAAGCGUGGGGAGCAAACAGG